This 253-nucleotide ribosomal RNA is filed under the name uncultured bacterium. RNAcentral's name for it is "partial 16S ribosomal RNA". It matches the Rfam family "Bacterial small subunit ribosomal RNA", at positions 524 to 776 of the family's 1533-position model. The record is from RNAcentral.
GACGAACCGUGCGAACGUUGUUCGGAAUCACUGGGCUUAAAGGGUGCGUAGGCGGGUUGUCCAGUCUGGGGUGAAAUCCCACGGCUCAACCGUGGAAUUGCCUCAGAUACUGACGACAUUGAGGGAGGUAGGGGCGAGCGGAACUGUGGGUGGAGCGGUGAAAUGCGUUGAUAUCCACAGGAACUCCGGUGGCGAAGGCGGCUUGCUGGACAUCUUCUGACGCUGAGGCACGAAAGCUAGGGGAGCAAACGGG